This 474-nucleotide ribosomal RNA is filed under the name Acanthocercus atricollis. Its description in RNAcentral is "partial 16S ribosomal RNA". It matches the Rfam family "Bacterial large subunit ribosomal RNA", at positions 1849 to 2597 of the family's 2925-position model. Lineage: Eukaryota; Metazoa; Chordata; Lepidosauria; Squamata; Agamidae. The record is from RNAcentral.
AAGGUAACGCCUGCCCAGUGAGUCUUACUUAAACGGCCGCGACUAAACGUGCAAAGGUAGCGCAAUCACUUGUUCCGUAAAUAGGGACCUGUAUGAACGGCCACAUGAGAAAGAAACUGUCUCUUGAAGAUAGCCAAUGAAACUGAUCUACUUGUCCAAAAGCAAGCAUAAUUAAGCUAGACAAAAAGACCCUGUGAAACUUAAACUAAGCAUUAAACAAACUUAAUGCCUCCUUUUAGUUGGGGCAACUUAAGAUACACUAAACAUCUAAUAACACUCUAAACCAACAAGUUGAAAUACCCAAACACAAGAUCCGGCACAGCCGACUAACGAACCAAGCUACUCCAGGGAUAACAGCGCCAAAUUCUUUAAGAGUCCACAUCAACAAGAAUUCUUACGACCUCGAUGUUGGAUCAGGAUAUCCAAACAGCGCAGAAGCUGUUAACGGCUCGUUUGUUCAACGACUAACACCCU